UGGGGAAUAUUGCACAAUGGGGGAAACCCUGAUGCAGCGACGCCGCGUGAACGAAGAAGGUAUUCGUAUCGUAAAGUUCUGUCCUAUGGGAAGAUAAUGACAGUACCAUAGAAGAAAGCUCCGGCUAAAUACGUGCCAGCAGCCGCGGUAAUACGUAUGGAGCGAGCGUUGUCCGGAAUUAUUGGGCGUAAAGGGUACGCAGGCGGUUUAAUAAGUCGAAUGGUAAAGAUCGGGGCUCAACCCCGCAAAGCAUUGGAAACUGAUAAACUUGAGUAGUGGAGAGGAAAGUGGAAUUCCUAGUGUAGUGGUGAAAUACGUAGAUAUUAGGAGGAAUACCAGUAGCGAAGGCGACUUUCUGGACACAAACUGACGCUGAGGUACGAAAGCGUGGGGAGCAAACAGG
This 403-nucleotide ribosomal RNA is filed under the name bacterium. RNAcentral describes it as "partial 16S ribosomal RNA". It matches the Rfam family "Bacterial small subunit ribosomal RNA", at positions 355 to 776 of the family's 1533-position model. The record is from RNAcentral.